Molecule: ribosomal RNA, 437 nt
Filed under: uncultured bacterium
Lineage: Bacteria
Description: partial 16S ribosomal RNA
Rfam family: Bacterial small subunit ribosomal RNA
Source: RNAcentral
AGCGAACGCUGGCGGCAGGCCUAACACAUGCAAGUCGAGCGGCCAUCCUUGUGGUGCUUGCUCCUGCCGGGUGCGUAAGGCGUGCGAACGUGCCCUUCGUUUGGAACUACCUCUGGGUAACUUAUCCUAUUACCGAAUAUGUGCUAAUGCCGCAUGGUUUCUCUGCCUAAGGUGCGGCCCGCUUCUGAUUAUCUGGUUUGUAAGGUUAGGGCGCCCCAAGCCGUCGUUCACUAGCUGGUCUGAGAGGAUGACCAGCCACACUGGCAGUUAGAACCGGCCCAGACUACUACGGGAGGCAGCAGUGGGGAAUAUAGGAAAAUGGGGGGAAGGCUGAACGAGCCAGGCCGCGUGAGUGAUGAUGGCCGUAGGGAUGUAAAGCACGUUUCUACGGGACGAUAAUGACGGUACCGGAGGAAUAAGCCCCGGCUAACUUCGUG